Molecule: unclassified non-coding RNA, 272 nt
Filed under: plant metagenome
Description: partial contains small subunit ribosomal RNA, internal transcribed spacer 1, and 5.8S ribosomal RNA
Source: RNAcentral
UUUCCGUAGGUGAACCUGCGGAAGGAUCAUUAAUGAGUUGUCAUGGGGUUCGAUGCUGGCAGCCAGUUUUUGGAUGCAUGUGCUUGCCCUAACAAUCAUCUUCUUCCAAACACCUGUGCACAUUUUUGAGGGAGUCUUGGGUUGGUUGCCGCUCUUGGGUGAUUUUCUCACAUUCCCUUAAAUCAUUAUACGCUAUUAACAAUGUUGAACGUGCUCUGUGCCGCAAGGCCAUUAAUAUAAUACAACUUUUAACAACGGAUCUCUUGGCUCUC